GAUGAACGCUGGCGGCGUGCCUAACACAUGCAAGUCGAGCGUGAACCGUCUGAAUGAAACUUCGGUCGAGUGAGGAUGGGGAAAGCGGCGGACGGGUGAGUAACGCGUGGGCAACCUACCCCAAAGUCCGGGAUAACAGUGGGAAACCGCUGCUAAUACCGGAUGGCUUUACCUGAGGGCAUCCUUGGGUAAAGAAAGGUUACGCUUUGGGAUGGGCCCGCGUCCCAUUAGCUAGUUGGUGAGGUAACGGCUCACCAAGGCGACGAUGGGUAGCCGGCCUGAGAGGGUGACCGGCCACACUGGGACUGAGACACGGCCCAGACUCCUACGGGAGGCAGCAGUGGGGAAUAUUGCGCAAUGGACGGAAGUCUGACGCAGCGACGCCGCGUGAGCGACGAAGGGCCUUCGGGUCGUAAAGCUCUGUUCUUGGGGACGAAGGAAAUGACGGUACCCAAGGAGAAAGCCCCGGCUAACUACGUG
Molecule: ribosomal RNA, 480 nt
Filed under: uncultured bacterium
Lineage: Bacteria
Description: bacterial SSU rRNA
Rfam family: Bacterial small subunit ribosomal RNA
Source: RNAcentral